Molecule: ribosomal RNA, 489 nt
Filed under: uncultured bacterium
Lineage: Bacteria
Description: bacterial SSU rRNA
Rfam family: Bacterial small subunit ribosomal RNA
Source: RNAcentral
GGCUCAGAUUGAACGCUGGCGGCAUGCCUUACACAUGCAAGUCGAACGACUGCGGACCUUCGGGUGCCGGCGAGUGGCGAACGGGUGAGUAAUAUAUCGGAACGUACCUUUCAGUGGGGGAUAACGUAGCGAAAGUUACGCUAAUACCGCAUAUUCUGUGAGCAGGAAAGCAGGGGAUCGCAAGACCUUGCGCUGAUUGAGCGGCCGAUAUCAGAUUAGCUAGUUGGUGAGGUAAAGGCUCACCAAGGCGACGAUCUGUAGCGGGUCUGAGAGGAUGAUCCGCCACACUGGAACUGAGACACGGUCCAGACUCCUACGGGAGGCAGCAGUGGGGAAUUUUGGACAAUGGGCGCAAGCCUGAUCCAGCCAUGCCGCGUGAGUGAAGAAGGCCUUCGGGUUGUAAAGCUCUUUCGGCCGGGAAGAAAUCGCACGGGUUAAUACCCUGUGUGGAUGACGGUACCGGAAUAAGAAGCACCGGCUAACUACGUG